RNAcentral lists this ribosomal RNA (253 nucleotides) under uncultured bacterium. RNAcentral describes it as "partial 16S ribosomal RNA". It matches the Rfam family "Bacterial small subunit ribosomal RNA", at positions 524 to 776 of the family's 1533-position model. The record is from RNAcentral.
UACGGGGGGGGCAAGCGUUGUUCGGAAUUACUGGGCGUAAAGGGCUCGUAGGCGGCCAACUAAGUCAGACGUGAAAUCCCUCGGCUUAACCGGGGAACUGCGUCUGAUACUGGAUGGCUAGAGGUUGGGAGAGGGAUGCGGAAUUCCAGGUGUAGCGGUGAAAUGCGUAGAUAUCUGGAGGAACACCGGUGGCGAAGGCGGCAUCCUGGGCCGGCAUUGACGCUGAGGAGCGAAAGCCAGGGGAGCAAACGGG